This 202-nucleotide ribosomal RNA is filed under the name Escherichia coli. RNAcentral describes it as "partial 16S ribosomal RNA". It matches the Rfam family "Bacterial small subunit ribosomal RNA", at positions 1 to 208 of the family's 1533-position model. The record is from RNAcentral. Lineage: Bacteria; Pseudomonadati; Pseudomonadota; Gammaproteobacteria; Enterobacterales; Enterobacteriaceae.
UUAAAUUGAAGAGUUUGAUCAUGGCUCAGAUUGAACGCUGGCGGCAGGCCUAACACAUGCAAGUCGAACGGUAACAGGAAGCAGCUUGCUGCUUCGCUGACGAGUGGCGGACGGGUGAGUAAUGUCUGGGAAACUGCCUGAUGGAGGGGGAUAACUACUGGAAACGGUAGCUAAUACCGCAUAACGUCGCAAGACCAAAGAG